Talpa occidentalis (Iberian mole) is the source of this 438-nucleotide long non-coding RNA. RefSeq lists it as uncharacterized. The transcript is spliced from 4 exons. Lineage: Eukaryota; Metazoa; Chordata; Mammalia; Eulipotyphla; Talpidae. The record is from RefSeq and is a predicted model, not a curated record.
UGAGGAUGCCACAGUGUGAGGAACCCAGGCCAUAUAGAACAGCCAGUUGCAGGCUUUCCUGUCAACAAUCCCUGUCAGAGCAGCAGAUGUAAGUGAAUUUAGAGGUCAAGGACCCCUGGCCUCACCUUGACAGAAUUAUGUCUCUUCGGGAGCUUCCUAGCGCUGUUCCAGCCACUGCUCCAGAUCUCAGGAUAUAAAUGAAAUUCAAGAUAUCUUUGGCUCUCAGCAAAUCAUGCCUGGAUGAUAAGAAAUAGAUGAGACAUGCUCCUGUUUGAGCAAUUGGAGCAGGAAGCAGCGGCUCAUCACCAAGGGAAUUAGGGCUUCUUUGGGGAAGGGAAUUUCAGGACCUAUGAAUGAGAAGAAAUUGUUGGGAAAGGGGGAGUCCUUCUAGAACCUUGAAAUCACCUAAUUAAGCAGUUGUCAACUUGCCUGUGGUAA